RNAcentral lists this ribosomal RNA (738 nucleotides) under uncultured beta proteobacterium. RNAcentral's name for it is "bacterial SSU rRNA". It matches the Rfam family "Bacterial small subunit ribosomal RNA", at positions 58 to 795 of the family's 1533-position model. Lineage: Bacteria; Pseudomonadati; Pseudomonadota; Betaproteobacteria. The record is from RNAcentral.
CAAGUCGAACGACGUUACGGGGGCAACUCCGUAGCGAGUGGCGAACGGGUGAGUAAUGCAUCGGAACGUGCCCUCUCGUGGGGGAUAACCAGUCGAAAGAUUGGCUAAUACCGCAUGAGCUCGAGAGAGGAAAGCGGGGGAUCCGCAAGGACCUCGCGCGAGAGGAGCGGCCGAUGCCCGAUUAGCUAGUUGGUGGGGUAAUAGCCCACCAAGGCGACGAUCGGUAGCUGGUCUGAGAGGACGACCAGCCACACUGGGACUGAGACACGGCCCAGACUCCUACGGGAGGCAGCAGUGGGGAAUUUUGGACAAUGGGGGCAACCCUGAUCCAGCCAUGCCGCGUGUGUGAAGAAGGCCUUCGGGUUGUAAAGCACUUUCGGACGGAACGAAAUCGCGCGGGUGAACAAUCCGCGUGGAUGACGGUACCGUAGGAAGAAGCACCGGCUAACUACGUGCCAGCAGCCGCGGUAAUACGUAGGGUGCGAGCGUUAAUCGGAAUUACUGGGCGUAAAGCGUGCGCAGGCGGCGCCGCAAGUCAGGCGUGAAAUCCCCGAGCUUAACUUGGGAAUGGCGCUUGAAACUACGGUGCUGGAGUGUGGCAAAGGGAGGUGGAUUCCACGUGUAGCGGUGAAAUGCGUAGAGAUGUGGAGGAACACGAUGGCGAAGCAGCCUCCUGGGCCAACACUGACGCUCAUGCACGAAGCGUGGGGAGCAACAGGAUUAGAUACCCUGGUAGUC